This is a non-coding RNA of Pelobates cultripes (western spadefoot toad), 1196 nucleotides long. The record is from the annotation of a GenBank genome assembly. Lineage: Eukaryota; Metazoa; Chordata; Amphibia; Anura; Pelobatidae.
GAUCCAACAUGACAGCGAAUGACUUAGAUACCUAGAACAUCCACUCAAACUGAACACUUUAUUAAAUACACAGCUUUCAUGGGCCAUUAAAUGUGCGAUAUAUGAAUCAUUAGACCAAUCCUUAUAAACAGAGAAUCACUGAAGCAUGCCCACAGGUCACCCAGCAGGUAGUGGCACAUCAGGGAGAGGGAGUCUGGGUGUUUCAGUUUAUGGAGAAGAAAGCACCUAUUUCCCCUUGCUAUUCCCACAAUUUACAUAUUAGCAUCCACGAAUCAACAAUAAUAACUAAAAACUAUUUUAACCUGUUGACGCAAACAGCUAUAUUGAAAAAAACUAGUUUUCACCACAACCCGUGGCUCAACAAUGCCCCUAGAAGUCAAUUUUUAAGAAUCCAACGAAAUUGCAAAUUAGAUUCCGACUACCUCCAACAGGCUGAUUAUAUUAAAAAACAAUUCAUUGAAAAAGGAUAUGAUAAAAUAAUCCUGGAAAAAGAAAUAGAGGAGAUAGGAAAACUACAAAGAAAAAGUCUCAUAAAAUAUAAGCAAAAAAUAACAACAACUGUAACGGAUGAAAUUCCUUUUAUUUGCAACUUCAACGGACUCAACAGACGGAUACAAAGAACAAUUAAAAAACAUUGGCAUUUAUUAAAGGAUGACCCCGUUUUAAAUAAGAUUUUACCAACAAAACCAAAAAUAAUAUAUACAGGAGCUAAGAAUUUUACAAAUAUUUUAGUAAAAAGCCACCUAACCCCCCAAAAAACAAAGCACUGUAUCCAAGAAUUAAAAGGAUUUUAUGGAUGUGGAACAUGUCUCCCUUGUAAAAUAACCGUAUAUUAUUAAUGACCACCUAACUUGCCAUUCAAAAGGAAUUAUAUACAUGUUAAAAUGCCCAUGUAACCUUUUGUAUAUAGGCAGAACGAUUCGACCAUUAAAGGUUAGGAUUGCAGAACACAUUAGGAAUAUAAAGAACGGUUUAGAAACUCACAGUGUGUCAUUACAUUAUAAACAAGUCCACAACCAAAAUCCUGAAAAUUUGUUUUUUUGUGCAAUAAAAGAAGUCAAAAGAAAUUGGAGAGGUGGCAAUUAUAUAAAAAUAUUAGGAAAAAAAGAAAUAGGGUUUAUUUUUCGUUUUAAGACCCUUAUUCCGUAUGUUCUUAAUUCACACUUUGAAGUCUGUCAUUUUUAAUAUUAUUUUAG